UGUUGUUGGGAUAAAAUGAGGAUAAGAAAACCGUAAGCUCCACGCUCGCGCCACACGAUUCUUCUUCUUCUUCUUCGGUCAAUGCCCAGUCGUCGCCGUCUCCCUUCUCCCUCGUUGUCAGUUUGUGCGCCGUCGCUCCCAGCCGCCCUUCGAGCAACAACUAUCGCGUCAUCCACCUCGUUUGCUGCCUUCCAGAUCUGACCAAUCCGCUUCUCUUUUGCAUUUCCGGCGAGGUAUUGUUCCGACAAAACAAUAUCCACGACGUUUGGACCUUUGAUCUACGGAUUGGAGCCUAUUCGAGGUCGAACAACACUAUUUCGCGAGGAUUUCUUGGAUUUCAACUCUUAACUGCUUGCAUCUCAAAGCUGUAAUAACAGUGUCGUUGUUGAGUGCAUCGCUUCCAUAUUUGAAGACCGAUUUCACAUUGCUAGAACUAUCAGGCAAUGAUUUGAGAAUUGCUGCUUCACUUUCCUCUCCUAGUUACUCCCCACUCAGAACUUUGGAUUUAGUUUGGUUCGUAGUUUGUAUGAAAGCAUGAUAUAAGCAUGUAAUAGAAAUUUGAGCCUAAACUAAGUUGAUCUGAUCCAUGAAAAAGCAUGUCGAAGUUAUAUGAUGCAUGUUUUCCGAGAAAUAAAUUGUUAGAGCGUUGAUAUAUGUUGAACAUUAUUUAGUAUGAUAAUGUUAUAAGAAACUUAUUAUCACGAUUUGGGCAUGGGAUGAGCUAAGACGAUAUAUGUUGAACAUUAUUAUGUAUGUUUUCUAAGAAAAGUAUGAACUAAACUAUGACCGGUAUGAAUAUGAAAUUAUGACUAGGUAUCCAUGUUUAGGUCGCCUAUGUAUGUUUCUAUUGUAUAUGUAUGUGAUUGUAGCGGUUAUAUGGGGAUGAUUAGAGAUUCGCCAACUAAUCUUAAUCGUAAACCUGACUCGAUUGUCAGGGGUCUGAAUAAAUAUAGAACAGACUUAUGAUAUAUGAUUGUAUAAUGUGGGGCUAUUUAUGAAGUUUGCAAGUUAGCUUUUCUUUA
This is an RNA transcript of Cucurbita pepo subsp. pepo (vegetable marrow), 1022 nucleotides long. It is a transcript of the gene named putative calcium-binding protein CML44 pseudogene, with no coding region annotated. NCBI's taxonomy places the organism in Eukaryota, Viridiplantae, Streptophyta, Magnoliopsida, Cucurbitales, Cucurbitaceae. The record is from RefSeq and is a predicted model, not a curated record.